RNAcentral lists this long non-coding RNA (328 nucleotides) under Ananas comosus (pineapple). RNAcentral's name for it is "long non-coding RNA (ACOM_LNC004845)". The record is from RNAcentral. Lineage: Eukaryota; Viridiplantae; Streptophyta; Magnoliopsida; Poales; Bromeliaceae.
GGGCUCGGGCCACGUCGACGGGUCGCGGCCGAGCGCCCACACGUUGACGAAGACCUGCGUGUCGCAGGGGAUGCCGUGGCCGAGGAGGGUGCAGGGCUUGAGGGACUUGUGCGGCACGAGGAAGGGGAGGGGAGGGUGCAGCCUCAGGGUUUCGUUGAUCACGCCCUUGAGGUAGGGGAGGUUGAUCACGUCCUUCUCCUCCAGGUACUCCUUGCUCGCCGCGAUGUUCUCGCGCACCUCCGCUUGCGCCUUCUUCAUCACCUCCGGGUGCUUGAUCAGCUCCGCCAUCGCCCACUCCAUCGUCCCCGCCGUCGUGUCGAUCCCCGCG